AUUGAACGCUGGCGGCAUGCUUUACACAUGCAAGUCGAACGGUAACAGGUUAAGCUGACGAGUGGCGAACGGGUGAGUAAUGCAUCGGAACGUGCCCGGUCGUGGGGGAUAACGCAGCGAAAGCUGCGCUAAUACCGCAUACGAUCUGAGGAUGAAAGCGGGGGACCGUAAGGCCUCGCGCGAUCGGAGCGGCCGAUGUCAGAUUAGGUAGUUGGUGGGGUAAAGGCUCACCAAGCCGACGAUCUGUAGCUGGUCUGAGAGGACGACCAGCCACACUGGGACUGAGACACGGCCCAGACUCCUACGGGAGGCAGCAGUGGGGAAUUUUGGACAAUGGGCGAAAGCCUGAUCCAGCCAUGCCGCGUGCAGGAAGAAGGCCUUCGGGUUGUAAACUGCUUUUGUACGGAGCGAAAAGGUCUCAUCUAGUACAGGGGGCUCAUGACGGUACCGUAAGAAUAAGCACCGGCUAACUACGUGCCAGCCGCCGCAGUAA
RNAcentral lists this ribosomal RNA (493 nucleotides) under uncultured bacterium. Its description in RNAcentral is "partial 16S ribosomal RNA". It matches the Rfam family "Bacterial small subunit ribosomal RNA", at positions 29 to 523 of the family's 1533-position model. The record is from RNAcentral.